UAAGUAAGCUUUGAUCCAGAGAUUUCCGAAUGGGGAAACCCAGCAUGAGUUAUGUCAUGUUAUCGAUAUGUGAAUACAUAGCAUAUCAGAAGGCACACCCGGAGAACUGAAACAUCUUAGUACCCGGAGGAAGAGAAAGAAAAUUCGAUUCCCUUAGUAGCGGCGAGCGAAACGGGAAGAGCCCAAACCAACAAGCUUGCUUGUUGGGGUUGUAGGACACUCUAUACGGAGUUACAAAGGACGACAUUAGACGAAUCAUCUGGAAAGAUGAAUCAAAGAAGGUAAUAAUCCUGUAGUCGAAAAUGUUGUCUCUCUUGAGUGGAUCCUGAGUACGACGGAGCACGUGAAAUUCC
This 353-nucleotide ribosomal RNA is filed under the name Staphylococcus aureus. RNAcentral's name for it is "partial 23S ribosomal RNA". It matches the Rfam family "Bacterial large subunit ribosomal RNA", at positions 89 to 435 of the family's 2925-position model. Lineage: Bacteria; Bacillati; Bacillota; Bacilli; Caryophanales; Staphylococcaceae. The record is from RNAcentral.